AUUGAACGCUGGCGGCAUGCCUUACACAUGCAAGUCGAACGGCAGCACGGGGGCAACCCUGGUGGCGAGUGGCGGACGGGUGAGUAAUGCAUCGGAACGUGCCCUGAAGUGGGGGAUAACGCAGCGAAAGCUACGCUAAUACCGCAUAUUCUGUGAGCAGGAAAGCAGGGGGAUCGCAAGACCUUGCGCUUUGGGAGCGGCCGAUGUCGGAUUAGCUAGUUGGUGGGGUAAAGGCCUACCAAGGCGACGAUCCGUAGCGGGUCUGAGAGGAUGAUCCGCCACACUGGGACUGAGACACGGCCCAGACUCCUACGGGAGGCAGCAGUGGGGAAUUUUGGACAAUGGGCGAAGCCUGAUCCAGCCAUGCCGCGUGAGUGAA
RNAcentral lists this ribosomal RNA (379 nucleotides) under uncultured bacterium. RNAcentral's name for it is "bacterial SSU rRNA". It matches the Rfam family "Bacterial small subunit ribosomal RNA", at positions 29 to 409 of the family's 1533-position model. The record is from RNAcentral.